Molecule: transfer RNA, 92 nt
Filed under: Akkermansiaceae bacterium
Lineage: Bacteria; Pseudomonadati; Verrucomicrobiota; Verrucomicrobiia; Verrucomicrobiales; Akkermansiaceae
Description: tRNA-Ser
Rfam family: tRNA
About the family: Transfer RNA (tRNA) molecules are approximately 80 nucleotides in length.
Source: RNAcentral
GGAGGGAUGGCUGAGUUGGUUUAAGGCGCUCGAUUCGAAAUCGAGUGUAGGUUUAUAGCCUACCGUGGGUUCAAAUCCCACUCCCUCUGCCA